UGUGAGGUAGAUGUUUCUCUAGGGCCUGUGAGGUAGGGGCUCCUCUAGGUCCUGUGAGGUAGGGGCUCCUCUAGAACUUGAGAGGUAUGGACUCCUCUAGGACUUGUGAGGUAGGGGCUCCUCUAGGGCCUGUGAGGUAGAUGCUUCUCUAGGGCCUGUGAAGUAGGGGCUCCUCUAGGGCCUGUGAGGUAGAUGCUUCUCUAAGGCCUGUGAGGUAAGGGCUCCUCUAGGGCCUGUGAGAUAGAUGCUCCUUUAGGGCCUGUAAGGUAGAGGCUCCUCUAGGGCCU
This is a long non-coding RNA of Apodemus sylvaticus (European woodmouse), 287 nucleotides long. RefSeq lists it as uncharacterized. The record is from RefSeq and is a predicted model, not a curated record. NCBI's taxonomy places the organism in Eukaryota, Metazoa, Chordata, Mammalia, Rodentia, Muridae. The transcript is spliced from 2 exons.